RNAcentral lists this ribosomal RNA (468 nucleotides) under uncultured bacterium. RNAcentral's name for it is "partial 16S ribosomal RNA". It matches the Rfam family "Bacterial small subunit ribosomal RNA", at positions 28 to 507 of the family's 1533-position model. The record is from RNAcentral.
GACGAACGCUGGCGGCGUGCUUAACACAUGCAAGUCGAACGGAAAGGCCCUGCUUUUGUGGGGUGCUCGAGUGGCGAACGGGUGAGUAACACGUGAGUAACCUGCCCUUGACUUUGGGAUAACUUCAGGAAACUGGGGCUAAUACCGGAUAGGAGCUCCUGCUGCAGGGUGGGGGUUGGAAAGUUUCGGCGGUUGGGGCUGGACUCGCGGCUUAUCAGCUUGUUGGUGGGGUAGUGGCUUACCGAGGCUUUGGCGGGUAGCCGGCCUGGGAGGGUGACCGGCCACAUUGGGCCUGAGAUACGGCCCAGACUCCUACGGGAGGCAGCAGUGGGGAAUAUUGCACAGUGGGCGGAAGCCUGAUGCAGCAACGCCGCGUGCGGGAUGACGGCCUUCGGGUUGUAAACCGCUUUCGCCUGUGACGAAGCGUGAGUGACGGUAAUGGGUAAAGAAGCACCGGCUAACUACGUG